RNAcentral lists this ribosomal RNA (693 nucleotides) under uncultured bacterium. RNAcentral describes it as "bacterial SSU rRNA". It matches the Rfam family "Bacterial small subunit ribosomal RNA", at positions 59 to 753 of the family's 1533-position model. The record is from RNAcentral.
CAGUCGAACGGAGCUGCUUUGAUGAAGUUUUCGGAUGGAUUUAAAACAGCUUACCGUUGGACGGGUGAGUAACGCGUGGGUAACCUGCCUCACACUGGGGGAUAACAGUUAGAAAUAGCUGCUAAUACCGCAUAAGCGCACAGUUCCGCAUGGAACAGUGUGAAAAACUCCGGUGGUGUGAGAUGGACCCGCGUCUGAUUAGCCAGUUGGCGGGGUAACGGCCCACCAAAGCGACGAUCAGUAGCCGGCCUGAGAGGGUGAACGGCCACAUUGGGACUGAGACACGGCCCAAACUCCUACGGGAGGCAGCAGUGGGGAAUAUUGCACAAUGGGGGAAACCCUGAUGCAGCGACGCCGCGUGAGUGAAGAAGUAUUUCGGUAUGUAAAGCUCUAUCAGCAGGGAAGAAAGUGACGGUACCUGAAUAAGAAGCCCCGGCUAACUACGUGCCAGCAGCCGCGGUAAUACGUAGGGGGCAAGCGUUAUCCGGAUUUACUGGGUGUAAAGGGAGCGUAGACGGCAAGGCAAGUCUGAAGUGAAAGCCCGGUGCUUAACGCCGGGACUGCUUUGGAAACUGUUUAGCUGGAGUGCCGGAGAGGUAAGCGGAAUUCCUAGUGUAGCGGUGAAAUGCGUAGAUAUUAGGAAGAACACCAGUGGCGAAGGCGGCUUACUGGACGGUAACUGACGUUGAGGCU